GAGUUUGAUCCUGGCUCAGGACGAACGCUGGCGGCGUGCCUAACACAUGCAAGUCGAGCGAUGCGUCGUCUUCUUCGGAAGACGGCAAUUAGCGGCGGACGGGUGAGUAACACGUGGGUAACCUGCCUCAAAGAGGGGAAUAGCCUCCCGAAAGGGAGAUUAAUACCGCAUAAUAUGUUUUAGUCGCAUGACUUUAGCAUCAAAGGAAUUUCUUCGGGAAUUCCACUUUGAGAUGGACCCGCGGCGCAUUAGCUAGUUGGAGAGGUAACGGCUCACCAAGGCAACGAUGCGUAGCCGACCUGAGAGGGUGAUCGGCCACAUUGGAACUGAGACAC
RNAcentral lists this ribosomal RNA (335 nucleotides) under uncultured low G+C Gram-positive bacterium 48ev. Its description in RNAcentral is "bacterial SSU rRNA". It matches the Rfam family "Bacterial small subunit ribosomal RNA", at positions 9 to 327 of the family's 1533-position model. The record is from RNAcentral. Lineage: Bacteria; Bacillati; Bacillota.